RNAcentral lists this unclassified non-coding RNA (190 nucleotides) under uncultured Russulales. Its description in RNAcentral is "sequence contains ITS1". Lineage: Eukaryota; Fungi; Basidiomycota; Agaricomycetes; Agaricales. The record is from RNAcentral.
UCGUACCACCGAGCCAUUCAGGCUGUCGCUGACCGCAUUCAAAGGUCGUGCACGCCCCGAGUGUGCUCACCAUCAUCCACUUCACCCUUGUGCAUCACCGCGUGGGGCACCCCCUUUCUUCAAAGGGGUCCACGUCCUUUACACAAACGCCCCAAGUUUAGAAUGUCUUUGCGGUCACACGCAAUCAAUA